RNAcentral lists this ribosomal RNA (433 nucleotides) under uncultured bacterium. RNAcentral's name for it is "partial 16S ribosomal RNA". It matches the Rfam family "Bacterial small subunit ribosomal RNA", at positions 29 to 507 of the family's 1533-position model. The record is from RNAcentral.
AACGAACGCUGGCGGCAGGCUUAGCACAUGCAAGUCGAACGGAUCCUUCGGGAUUAGUGGCAGACGGGUGAGUAACGCGUGGGAACGUACCCUUUGCUACGGAAUAACUCAGGGAAACUUGAGCUAAUACCGUAUGUGCCCUACGGGGGAAAGAUUUAUCGGCAAAGGAUCGGCCCGCGUUGGAUUAGCUAGUUGGUGGGGUAAUGGCCUACCAAGGCGACGAUCCAUAGCUGGUCUGAGAGGAUGAUCAGCCACACUGGGACUGAGACACGGCCCAGACUCCUACGGGAGGCAGCAGUGGGGAAUAUUGGACAAUGGGCGCAAGCCUGAUCCAGCCAUGCCGCGUGAGUGAUGAAGGUCUUAGGAUUGUAAAGCUCUUUCACCGGUGAAGAUAAUGACGGUAGCCGGAGAAGAAGCCCCGGCUAACUUCGUG